AUAGGCGAGAGCCAUCUGGCUGUGGCAUCUAUCACCAUGUUCAUUGCCAGGGUUGGCUUGAUCUGGCUGGCCUGGCUGCCUGAGGGAGUGUCCUCUUUCUCUAUUGCCACUCCACAUGUGCUGAAGCUGUGUAGUCGUGGGAAAGGAUGAGCUUCCUCUAUAGAGGAAGACCAUUUUUCAGUCAAGGAUAGAGAAGUCAUGCUCAUCUGUUAGAACCACCAGAAAAGCUCUAAUGGUCCAUUUGCAGGAGAACAAGGGUAGUUAGGGUUCCAGAGAGAUGUAUCCAGAUGAGGUACUGCAUCUCUCUCU
RNAcentral lists this small nuclear RNA (309 nucleotides) under Peromyscus maniculatus bairdii (prairie deer mouse). RNAcentral describes it as "7SK RNA (ENSPEMG00000002179.2)". It matches the Rfam family "7SK RNA". Rfam says of the family: 7SK was discovered as an abundant small nuclear RNA in the mid-70s but a possible function has only recently been suggested. Two independent studies have found that 7SK RNA binds the CDK9/cyclin T complex (known as elongation factor P-TEFb). P-TEFb activates transcription by phosphorylating the C-terminal domain of RNA polymerase II. Lineage: Eukaryota; Metazoa; Chordata; Mammalia; Rodentia; Cricetidae. The record is from RNAcentral.